UUUUGGGAUUACUUGGCUGUGGAGCACAUGAAAACUCCACAGUUAAGCGUGCUCAGGUGGAAGUGGUACCAGGAUGGGUGACCUCCUGGGAAGACUCCACAGGAGCAACCA
This 111-nucleotide ribosomal RNA is filed under the name Helianthus annuus (common sunflower). The record is from RNAcentral. Lineage: Eukaryota; Viridiplantae; Streptophyta; Magnoliopsida; Asterales; Asteraceae.